RNAcentral lists this ribosomal RNA (253 nucleotides) under uncultured bacterium. RNAcentral describes it as "partial 16S ribosomal RNA". It matches the Rfam family "Bacterial small subunit ribosomal RNA", at positions 524 to 776 of the family's 1533-position model. The record is from RNAcentral.
UACGAAGGGGGCUAGCGUUGCUCGGAAUGACUGGGCGUAAAGGGCGCGUAGGCGGAUGGCUUUGUCGGGCGUGAAAUUCCAGGGCUUAACCUUGGGGCUGCGUUCGAGACGGGUUGUCUUGAGUGGGGAAGAGGGUCGUGGAAUUCCCAGUGUAGAGGUGAAAUUCGUAGAUAUUCGGAAGAACACCAGUGGCGAAGGCGGCACACUGGCCCAUUACUGACGCUGAGGCUCGAAAGCGUGGGGAGCAAACAGG